GACGAACGCUGGCGGCGUGCCUAAUACAUGCAAGUCGAGCGGACAGAUUCGGAGCUUGCUCCGUUGAUGUCAGCGGCGGACGGGUGAGUAACACGUGGGUAACCUGCCUGAUCGACCGGGAUAACGCUUGGAAACGAGUGCUAAUACCGGAUAGGCUCUUGAAUCGCAUGGUUCGAGAGGGAAAGAGGCUUUCGCCUCACGGUCAGAUGGACCCGCGGCGCAUUAGCUAGUUGGUGAGGUAACGGCUCACCAAGGCGACGAUGCGUAGCCGACCUGAGAGGGUGACCGGCCACACUGGGACUGAGACACGGCCCAGACUCCUACGGGAGGCAGCAGUAGGGAAUCUUCCGCAAUGGGCGCAAGCCUGACGGAGCAACGCCGCGUGAGUGAUGAAGGCCUUCGGGUUGUAAAACUCUGUCUUCUGUGAAGAACCAUCGCGUGAAGGGAAUGCUCGCGAUCUGACGGUAACAGAGGAGGAAGCCCCGGCUAACUACGUGCCAGCAGCCGCAGUAAGAC
RNAcentral lists this ribosomal RNA (516 nucleotides) under uncultured bacterium. Its description in RNAcentral is "bacterial SSU rRNA". It matches the Rfam family "Bacterial small subunit ribosomal RNA", at positions 28 to 526 of the family's 1533-position model. The record is from RNAcentral.